Molecule: non-coding RNA, 219 nt
Organism: Pelobates cultripes (western spadefoot toad)
Lineage: Eukaryota; Metazoa; Chordata; Amphibia; Anura; Pelobatidae
Source: the annotation of a GenBank genome assembly
GGGAGUGGGUGACCAGUGACAGAGGGAGGGGGUAACACAGUGACAGAGUGAGGGAGGUGGUGACUAGUGACAGAGUGAGGGAGGUGGUGACUGUCACUAGUCACCACCUCCCUCACUCUGUCCCUAGUCACCCCUCCCUCUGUCACUAGUCACCUCUUCCCUCCCUCUGUCACUAGUCACCCCCUCCCUCUCUCUGUUACUAGUCACCCCCUACCUCUC